GACAGAGGGGGCAAGCGUUGCUCGGAAUUACUGGGCGUAAAGGGCGCGUAGGCGGGUUGGAAAGUCGGGCGUGAAAUCCCUCGGCUCAACUGAGGAUCGUCGAUCGAUACUGCCGUUCUUGAGGAUUGCAGAGGAGACUGGAAUUCCCGGUGUAGCGGUGAAAUGUGUAGAGAUCGGGAGGAACACCGGUGGCGAAGGCGGGUCUCUGGGCAAUUCCUGACGCUGAGGCGCGAAAGCGUGGGGAGCAAACAGG
Molecule: ribosomal RNA, 253 nt
Filed under: uncultured bacterium
Lineage: Bacteria
Description: partial 16S ribosomal RNA
Rfam family: Bacterial small subunit ribosomal RNA
Source: RNAcentral